This 270-nucleotide ribosomal RNA is filed under the name uncultured archaeon. Its description in RNAcentral is "partial 16S ribosomal RNA". It matches the Rfam family "Archaeal small subunit ribosomal RNA", at positions 477 to 747 of the family's 1478-position model. The record is from RNAcentral.
CAGCACCUCAAGUGGUCAGGAUGAUUAUUGGGCCUAAAGCAUCCGUAGCCUGCUUUGUAAGUUUUCGGUUAAAUCCAUACGCUCAACGUAUGGGCUGCCGGGAAUACUGCAAAGCUAGGGAGUGGGAGAGGUAGACGGUACUCGGUAGGAAGGGGUAAAAUCCUUUGAUCUAUUGAUGACCACCUGUGGCGAAGGCGGUCUACCAGAACACGUCCGACGGUGAGGGAUGAAAGCUGGGGGAGCAAACCGGAUUAGAGACCCGAGUAGUCC